CCUACGGGUGGCAGCAGUGGGGAAUAUUGGACAAUGGGCGAAAGCCUGAUCUAGCCAUGCCGCGUGUGUGAAGAAGGCCUUCGGGUUGUAAAGCACUUUCAGUGGGGAAGAAAGCCUUGGGGCUAAUACCCUCGAGGAAGGACAUCACCCACAGAAGAAGCACCGGCUAACUCCGUGCCAGCAGCCGCGGUAAUACGGAGGGUGCGAGCGUUAAUCGGAAUUACUGGGCGUAAAGCGCGCGUAGGCGGUCUGAUAAGCCGGUUGUGAAAGCCCCGGGCUCAACCUGGGAACGGCAUCCGGAACUGUCAGGCUAGAGUGCAGGAGAGGAAGGUAGAAUUCCCGGUGUAGCGGUGAAAUGCGUAGAGAUCGGGAGGAAUACCAGUGGCGAAGGCGGCCUUCUGGACUGACACUGACGCUGAGGUGCGAAAGCGUGGGUAGCAAACAGGAUUAGAUACCCCGGUAGUC
RNAcentral lists this ribosomal RNA (465 nucleotides) under Vreelandella stevensii. RNAcentral's name for it is "partial 16S ribosomal RNA". It matches the Rfam family "Bacterial small subunit ribosomal RNA", at positions 338 to 795 of the family's 1533-position model. Lineage: Bacteria; Pseudomonadati; Pseudomonadota; Gammaproteobacteria; Oceanospirillales; Halomonadaceae. The record is from RNAcentral.